AUUGAACGCUGGCGGCAGGCCUAACACAUGCAAGUCGAACGGUAACAGGAAACAGCUUGCUGUUUCGCUGACGAGUGGCGGACGGGUGAGUAAUGUCUGGGAAACUGCCUGAUGGAGGGGGAUAACUACUGGAAACGGUAGCUAAUACCGCAUAACGUCGCAAGACCAAAGAGGGGGACCUUCGGGCCUCUUGCCAUCGGAUGUGCCCAGAUGGGAUUAGCUAGUAGGUGGGGUAACGGCUCACCUAGGCGACGAUCCCUAGCUGGUCUGAGAGGAUGACCCGCCACACUGGAACUGAGACACGGUCCAGACUCCUACGGGAGGCAGCAGUGGGGAAUAUUGCACAAUGGGCGCAAGCCUGAUGCAGCCAUGCCGCGUGUAUGAAGAAGGCCUUCGGGUUGUAAAGUACUUUCAGCGGGGAGGAAGGGAGUAAAGUUAAUACCUUUACUCAUUGACAUUACCCGCAGAAGAAGCACCGGCUAACUCCGUG
RNAcentral lists this ribosomal RNA (490 nucleotides) under uncultured bacterium. RNAcentral describes it as "partial 16S ribosomal RNA". It matches the Rfam family "Bacterial small subunit ribosomal RNA", at positions 30 to 507 of the family's 1533-position model. The record is from RNAcentral.